This 237-nucleotide long non-coding RNA is filed under the name Pan troglodytes (chimpanzee). RNAcentral's name for it is "long non-coding RNA NONPTRT011852". Lineage: Eukaryota; Metazoa; Chordata; Mammalia; Primates; Hominidae. The record is from RNAcentral.
GGGUAAGCGAGCGUCGGCGACUGUCUCUCCGCGAGAGGAGGCAAGUUGGGGUCCAGGCUCCAAAGCCGGUGGCCGCGUACCGCGGUGGAGCCGCUGUCUUUGAGGUCUGAGGAGAGAACAGACGGAGUCUAGCUCUUUCACCCAGGCUGGAGUGAAGUGGCGCAAUCUCAGCUCAGUGCAACCUCCGCCCCCUGGGUUCAAGUGAUUCUCCUGCCUCAGCCUCCCCAGUAGCUGGGA